UACGGGGGGGGCAAGCGUUGUUCGGAAUUACUGGGCGUAAAGGGCUCGUAGGUGGCCAACUAAGUCAGACGUGAAAUCCCUCAGCUUAACUGGGGAACUGCGUCUGAUACUGGAUGGCUUGAGUUUGGGAGAGGGAUGCGGAAUUCCAGGUGUAGCGGUGAAAUGCGUAGAUAUCUGGAGGAACACCGGUGGCGAAGGCGGCUCACUGGACUGGUAUUGACGCUGAGGUGCGAAAGCGUGGGGAGCAAACAGG
Molecule: ribosomal RNA, 253 nt
Filed under: uncultured bacterium
Lineage: Bacteria
Description: partial 16S ribosomal RNA
Rfam family: Bacterial small subunit ribosomal RNA
Source: RNAcentral